Molecule: ribosomal RNA, 3124 nt
Filed under: Allonocardiopsis opalescens
Lineage: Bacteria; Bacillati; Actinomycetota; Actinomycetes; Streptosporangiales
Description: bacterial LSU rRNA
Rfam family: Bacterial large subunit ribosomal RNA
Source: RNAcentral
UUUGUAAGUUGUUGAGGGCAUACGGUGGAUGCCUUGGCACCAGGGGCCGAUGAAGGACGUGGGAGGCUGCGAUAAGCCGCGGGGAGCUGUCAACCGGGUGUUGAUCCGUGGAUUUCCGAAUGGGGUAACCUAGCUCGAGUUAUGUCGGGUUGCUGCCGUCUGAAUGUAUAGGGCGGUGUGUGGUGACGCGGGGAAGUGAAACAUCUCAGUACCCGUAGGAAGAGAAGACAAUAUGUGAUUCCCUGAGUAGUGGUGAGCGAAAGGGGAUGAGGCUAAACCAUGUGCGUGUGAUACCUGGCAGGGGUUACGUGUGUGGGGUUGUGGGAGCUGCGUGUGGGGGUCUGCCAGCCUCCAGCGGAGUGAGAAAACACUGUGCGAGCCGAAGCCGUUGGAAUGCGGUGCCGUAGUGGGUGAGAGUCCUGUAGGUGGUUGUGUGGUGUCUCCGUUGCGUGGUGUCCCGAGUAGCGCGGGGCCCGUGUAAUCCCGUGUGAAUCUGGCAGGACCACCUGUCAAGCCUAAAUAUGUCCUGGUGACCGAUAGUGCACGAGUACCGUGAGGGAAAGGUGAAAAGUGCCCCGGUGAGGGGUUGUGAAAGAGUACCUGAAACCGUGUGCUUACAAGCCGUCAGAGCAGCGCCACUCCUUUUUGGGGUGGUUUUUUGUGAUGGCGUGCCUUUUGAAGAAUGAGCCUGCGAGUUGUGGUGUGUGGCGAGGUUAACCCGGGUGGGGGAGCCGUAGCGAAAGCGAGUCUGAAUAGGGCGUUUUUAGUCGCAUGCUGCAGACCCGAAGCGGAGUGAUCUACCCAUGGGCAGGGUGAAGCGCGGGUAAGACCGUGUGGAGGCCCGGACCCACCAGGGUUGAAAACCUGGGGGAUGAUCUGUGGGUAGGGGUGAAAGGCCAAUCAAACUCCGUGAUAGCUGGUUCUCCCCGAAAUGCAUUUAGGUGCAGCGUUGCGUGUGCUCGUCUGAGGUAGAGCUACUGGUUGGCUGAUGGGCCCGACAAGGUUACUGACGUCAGCUAAACUCCGAAUGCAGGUCGAGUUGAGCGUGGCAGUGAGACUGCGGGGGAUAAGCUUCGUAGUCGAGAGGGAAACAGCCCAGAUCAUCAGCUAAGGCCCCUAAGCGUGUGCUAAGUGGGAAAGGAUGUGGAGUUGCUGAGACAACCAGGAGGUUGGCUUAGAAGCAGCCACCCUUUAAAGAGUGCGUAAUAGCUCACUGGUCAAGUGAUUCUGCGCCGAUAAUUUAGCGGGGCUCAAGCACACCGCCGAAGCUGUGGAGCCUAUGCCGUUGGGUGUGGGUUGGUAGGGGAGCGUCGUCCUUUGCGGUGAAGCCAUACGGGUGACCGGUGGUGGAGUGGGGGCGAGUGAGAAUGCAGGCAUGAGUAGCGUUAACGGCGUGAGAAACGUCGUCGCCGAUUGACUAAGGGUUCCUGGGGCAGGUUAAUCCGCCCAGGGUGAGUCGGGGCCUAAGGCGAGGCCGACAGGCGUAGUCGAUGGAUAACGGGUUGAUAUUCCCGUACCCGUGGGUGUGCGUCCACGCUGAACCUCCGGAUGCUGACCAUGGUGAAGCACCAUUACGCCGGCCCUUCGGGGUGGGUGGGUGGUGUGGAUGGUGGGACCCGAUGGGGUAGUAGGUGAGUGAUGGGGUGACGCAGGAGGGUAGCUCUACCGGGCGGUGGUUGUCCCGGGGUAAGCGUGUAGCCCGGAGGGUAGGCAAAUCCGCCCUUCUUGUGGGUGAGGCGUGAUGCCGAGCCGUUUUAGGUGAAGUGAGUGAUCCCAUGCUGCCGAGAAAAGCCUCUAGCGAGUGCGCUCAUGGCCCGUACCCGAAACCGACGCUGGUGGUCAGGUAGAGAAUACCGAGGCGCUCGGGUGAACCAUGGUUAAGGAACUCGGCAAAUUGUCCCCGUAACUUUGGGAGAAGGGGAGCCCUGUCUGGUGAUCCAACGUGCUUGGUGAGCUGGGUGGGGUCGCAGAGGCCAGGGGGAAGCGACUGUUUAUUAAAAACACAGGUCCGUGCGAAGUCGUAAGACGCUGUAUACGGACUGACGCCUGCCCGGUGCCGGAACGUUAAGAGGACCGGUUAAGUGGCCUUGUGCUGCUGAAGCUGGGAAUCUAAGCGCCGGUAAACGGCGGUGGUAACUAUAACCAUCCUAAGGUAGCGAAAUUCCUUGUCGGGUAAGUUCCGACCUGCACGAAUGGCGUAACGACUUCCCCGCUGUCUCGACCAUGGGCCCGGUGAAAUUGCACUACGAGUAAAGAUGCUCGUUACGCGCAGCAGGACGGAAAGACCCCGGGACCUUCACUAUAGCUUGACAUUGGUGUUUGGGGCGGCUUGUGUAGGAUAGGUGGGAGCCGGUGAAGUCAUCACGCUAGUGGUGGUGGAGGCGUUGGUGAAAUACCACUCUGGUCGUUUCGGGCAUCUCAACCUGCGACCCUUAUCGGGUUGGGGGACAGUGUCUGGUGGGUAGUUUAACUGGGGCGGUUGCCUCCUAAAGGGUAACGGAGGCGCCCAAAGGUUCCCUCGGCCUGGUUGGCAAUCAGGUGGUGAGUGUAAGUGCACAAGGGAGCUUGACUGUGAGACGGACGUGUCGAGCAGGUGCGAAAGCAGGGACUAGUGAUCCGGCACCACCGUGUGGAUGGGGUGUCGCUCAACGGCUAAAAGGUACCCCGGGGAUAACAGGCUGAUCUUCCCCAAGAGUCCAUAUCGACGGGAUGGUUUGGCACCUCGAUGUCGGCUCGUCGCAUCCUGGGGCUGGAGUUGGUCCCAAGGGUUGGGCUGUUCGCCCAUUAAAGCGGCACGCGAGCUGGGUUUAGAACGUCGCGAGACAGUUCGGUCCCUAUCCGCUGCGCGCGUAGGAGACUUGAUGGGGGGCUGUCCCUAGUACGAGAGGACCGGGACGGACGAACCUCUGGUGUGCCAGUUGUACCGCCAGGUGCAUGGCUGGUUGGCUACGUUCGGGAGGGAUAACCGCUGAAAGCAUCUAAGCGGGAAGCCUGCCCUGAGAUGAGGUCUCCCACCCACUUCGGUGGGGUAAGGCUCCCAGGAGACGACUGGGUUGAUAGGCCGGAUGUGGAAGCACUGUGAGGUGUGGAGCUGACCGGUACUAAUAGGCCGAGGACUUACCCA